UAUCCUGGCUCAGGACGAACGCUGGCGGCGUGCCUAAUACAUGCAAGUCGAGCGAACCGACGAAGUGCUUGCACUUCUGACGUUAGCGGCGGACGGGUGAGUAACACGUAAGGAACCUACCGAUAAGCGGGGGACAACAUCCGGAAACGGGUGCUAAUACCGCAUAGGAAACACCACCUCAUGGUGGUGUUUGGAAAGACGGCUUUGCUGUCACUUAUCGAUGGCCUUGCGGUGCAUUAGCUCGUUGGUGGGGUAACGGCCUACCAAGGCAAUGAUGCAUAGCCGACCUGAGAGGGUAAUCGGCCACAUUGGGACUGAGACACGGCCCAAACUCCUACGGGAGGCAGCAGUAGGGAAUCUUCCGCAAUGGGCGCAAGUCUGACGGAGCAACGCCGCGUGAGUGAAGAAGGUUUUCGGAUCGUAAAGCUCUGUUGUAAGAGAAGAACAAAUUGGAGAGUAACUGCUCCAGUCUUGACGGUAUCUUACCAGAAAGCCACGGCUAACUACGUG
RNAcentral lists this ribosomal RNA (510 nucleotides) under uncultured Aerococcus sp. Its description in RNAcentral is "bacterial SSU rRNA". It matches the Rfam family "Bacterial small subunit ribosomal RNA", at positions 15 to 507 of the family's 1533-position model. The record is from RNAcentral. Lineage: Bacteria; Bacillati; Bacillota; Bacilli; Lactobacillales; Aerococcaceae.